Molecule: ribosomal RNA, 234 nt
Filed under: uncultured bacterium
Lineage: Bacteria
Description: partial 16S ribosomal RNA
Rfam family: Bacterial small subunit ribosomal RNA
Source: RNAcentral
CGGACGGGUGAGUAAUGUAUAGUUAAUCUGCCCUUUAGAGGGGGAUAACAGUUGGAAACGACUGCUAAUACCCCCAUACUCCUUCUAUGUUAAUCAUAGUUGGGAAAUGUUUUUUCGCUAAAGGAUGAGACUAUAUGGUAUCAGGUAGUUGGUGGGGUAAGAGCCUACCAAGCCAAUGACGCCUAGCUGGUCUGAGAGGAUGAUCAGCCACACUGGAACUGAGACACGGUCCAG